UACGUAGGGGGCAAGCGUUGUCCGGAAUCACUGGGCUUAAAGCGCGUGUAGGCGGGUCGUUAAGUGUCCGAGUGAAAUCCCACGGCUCAACCGUGGAACUGCCGGGCAUACUGGCGAUCUUGAGGCAUUCAGGGGCGAGCGGAACAAAUGGUGGAGCGGUGAAAUGCGUAGAUAUCAUUUGGAACGCCAAUGGUGAAAACAGCUCGCUGGGAAUGAUCUGACGCUGAGACGCGAAAGCCAGGGGAGCGAACGGG
RNAcentral lists this ribosomal RNA (254 nucleotides) under uncultured bacterium. RNAcentral's name for it is "partial 16S ribosomal RNA". It matches the Rfam family "Bacterial small subunit ribosomal RNA", at positions 524 to 776 of the family's 1533-position model. The record is from RNAcentral.